RNAcentral lists this ribosomal RNA (575 nucleotides) under uncultured bacterium. RNAcentral describes it as "bacterial SSU rRNA". It matches the Rfam family "Bacterial small subunit ribosomal RNA", at positions 216 to 783 of the family's 1533-position model. The record is from RNAcentral.
CGCUAUGGGGGCGGCCGAUGUCCGAUUAGCUAGUUGGUGGGGUAACGGCUUACCAAGGCGACGAUCGGUAGCUGGUCUGAGAGGAUGAUCAGCCACACUGGGACUGAGACACGGCCCAGACUCCUACGGGAGGCAGCAGUGGGGAAUUUUGGACAAUGGGGGCAACCCUGAUCCAGCCAUGCCGCGUGCGGGAAGAAGGCCUUCGGGUUGUAAACCGCUUUUGGUCGGGAAGAAAGGGCGCCUCCGAACAGGGGGCGUUGUUGACGGUACCGACAGAAUAAGCACCGGCUAACUACGUGCCAGCAGCCGCGGUAAUACGUAGGGUGCGAGCGUUAAUCGGAAUUACUGGGCGUAAAGCGUGCGCAGGCGGUUUGCCAAGUCUGAUGUGAAAGCCCCGGGCUCAACCUGGGAACGGCAUUGGAAACUGGCAGGCUGGAGUGUGGCAGAGGGGGGUGGAAUUCCACGUGUAGCAGUGAAAUGCGUAGAGAUGUGGAGGAACACCGAUUGCGAAAGCAGCCCCCUUGGCCAACACAGACGCUCAGGCACGAAAGCGUGGGGAGCAAACAGGAUUAGAU